GACGGCGAUCCUUGAGGUGCCUGUGGCAGCAUGCUAAACGAUUUCUUCCAAUGACACGCUUUUACGACCAUGCGAAUCAGCAUCACAUCAUUUGCUCCUUAAGAAGACGAUGCCAUCUGAGUUUCAGCAGAGCAGCAGGAUGGAAGCAUCUGCGGAACACCAUCUCGAAUGUCUGGCGACCACUACGCAAUAAGUUCUCGGGACCUGCCGUUGCAGCCUUAAAGCUAAGCUCAGAUCCUCCGAUGAUGGAUCAAAAUGGAACAUAAUUUUGCAGUGGACAGCGCUAUCCGGGCGGAGAGCUGAAAAGAAACGGACGGAGACACGCGCUUACCAACUCGCACAGCUCACCGUUCCUAUGAAAAGUGGUCGCUUGAGAAUCUUCGUUAAAAAUCACAAGCACAUUCGGUUCAUCCUGGUAUAUUAAAACGAUGAAAGCAUCACAUUUUAAUUGGUGUUACGUGUGCGAAUGGAGGUUUGGAGACGUGAGAAAGUCUUCGUUGUAGUCUCAGAAGU
Molecule: long non-coding RNA, 513 nt
Organism: Rhipicephalus microplus (southern cattle tick)
Lineage: Eukaryota; Metazoa; Arthropoda; Arachnida; Ixodida; Ixodidae
Source: RefSeq, a predicted model, not a curated record